This 626-nucleotide long non-coding RNA is filed under the name Ananas comosus (pineapple). RNAcentral's name for it is "long non-coding RNA (ACOM_LNC003202)". Lineage: Eukaryota; Viridiplantae; Streptophyta; Magnoliopsida; Poales; Bromeliaceae. The record is from RNAcentral.
UGUGGCGAGAUGCGGACCAGAUCCUAAUUAUAUGUGUUAGGAUUAGCCGAAAUUAAACUCUAAGUGUAUGUGUUAGAGUCUAAUCAAGAGAUGAAUCAAUUAAAUCCUAAAUUUAUAAGUUAGGAUUAGUUAAAGUUUAAACUCUAAGUGUAUGUAUUAGAGUUUAAUUUAAUGAACUCUAAGUAUAUAUAUUAGAGCUCAAUUGAUUUGAUCGAGUGAAACCUUGUAUAUGGUUUGAUCAAUUCUAAUUAAAUAUUUUAGAAUUUGAUCGAGUUUGAAUAUGUCAAGAUUUAGCUCUAGUUAUAUAUGCUAGAGAAAAGGUUUGAUAUGGGCUAAUUAUGGGCUCAAUUUAAUUUGGACUCGGAUUGGCUAUAGGAUUUGGAUUUGGAUCAGAUAUAAUAUUUGGAUUUGAUAUGGGAUUUUGGGUUUGAUAUUGGGCAUUGAAUGGGAUUAGCAUUGAAUGGGAUUUGGAUUUGAUAUGGGCUUGUUAUAGGAUUCGGAUUUGGAUUGGUAUAGAUUUUGGAUUUGGGUUGAUUUGGAUUUGGACUCAAUUUGGGGUUGAGAUUUGAGCUUGGGUUUAAUUUAGGAUUUGGGUUUGAAUUUGGAUUUGAGCUUGAUAUGGAUUU